AGAGCUGAUAAUGCUACUUACUCCUCUUAUCAUAACCAGAGACCAGCCCACGAUGAUAUGCCUUUCUCUUAUGUUAACGAGACGUACGGCGAAAAUCAUCACCUGUAGACCUAACCUCGUUACAUGAAUGAGGCAGAAGGCCUGUGGUUUUACGUCAGUUUUGCUGACUAUGAACUUGUGCUAAAAUAAUAAAAGAAGAGGUGCUAAAUUUUUAACGUAGCAAGACGGUUUGCUAGUUUGAGCUUUAAAACAGUUUAAAAAGCGUGCGCUGAUUUACCUGGCUUACAUAGGCUAGAAUUUUACCGAAAUUUCCCCACUAAAUAAGUUUUGAAAAGUAACUGGUUGGCGAAAUUGUCGAAAUUGAAGCUACGUACAGAAGUACAACAAAAUGACGACAUUCAACUUUACCAGACACCGGAAACAAAGAUUUCAACUUGGAGCUGUUUUCAUUUGAGUGUCGAAAAGUAAUUGGUUUUGCAUCAACUACGCUUCACGAUUGGCUUAAAAAAUCCUGGUAAUUUCGAAUUUGCACCUAGAGUAUUGAAUAAAUUUUAUAGUUUAUCUCAUUUCAAA
This is a long non-coding RNA of Orbicella faveolata, 573 nucleotides long. Lineage: Eukaryota; Metazoa; Cnidaria; Anthozoa; Scleractinia; Merulinidae. The record is from RefSeq and is a predicted model, not a curated record.